Molecule: ribosomal RNA, 460 nt
Filed under: uncultured Clostridiaceae bacterium
Lineage: Bacteria; Bacillati; Bacillota; Clostridia; Eubacteriales; Clostridiaceae
Description: bacterial SSU rRNA
Rfam family: Bacterial small subunit ribosomal RNA
Source: RNAcentral
AGAGUUUGAUCAUGGCUCAGGACGAACGCUGGCGGCGUGCCUAACACAUGCAAGUCGAGCGAUGAAAUCCUUCGGGAUGGAUUAGCGGCGGACGGGUGAGUAACACGUGGGUAACCUGCCUCAAAGAGGGGAAUAGCCUUCCGAAAGGAAGAUUAAUACCGCAUAAUAUGUUUUGGUCGCAUGAUCAGAACAUCAAAGGAGUAAUCCGCUUUGAGAUGGACCCGCGGCGCAUUAGCUAGUUGGUGAGGUAACGGCUCACCAAGGCGACGAUGCGUAGCCGACCUGAGAGGGUGAUCGGCCACAUUGGAACUGAGACACGGUCCAGACUCCUACGGGAGGCAGCAGUGGGGAAUAUUGCGCAAUGGGGGAAACCCUGACGCAGCAACGUCGCGUGAAUGAUGAAGGCCUUCGGGUUGUAAAGUUCUGUCUUCUGGGACGAUAAUGACGUACCAGAGAGAAG